This 5451-nucleotide long non-coding RNA is filed under the name Cricetulus griseus (Chinese hamster). Its description in RNAcentral is "lncRNA (ENSCGRG00015033225.1)". Lineage: Eukaryota; Metazoa; Chordata; Mammalia; Rodentia; Cricetidae. The record is from RNAcentral.
AUUUAAGCAAUGGAAACAGGAAGCAUUUCACUUUUCCCCUCCAUGCUUCCUCCAGUGGUGGGAUGUGAGCCACUGGCAAGGAGUCUUCACAAAGGUCACCUUCAUAUUGGAAGUUUCCACUGCACAUGAUUUAACUUGAGGUCUAUACCAGGAGAAGGAUCCCAUAUCCUACACUGCCUGGAUGAUCAGGAACCAUAGACUGAACAGCCUGUGGUAGAAUCAGAGACCUAAGGAUGUGCAACUGUUGCAAGAUGCCAUGAACAAGAUGACUUCCUCUUACUCCUAGAACCACACGCAGAAUUGCACGGAUACUUUCCUCUGAGUCUCCAGCUCCAAGUCCUGAGAAGCCAAAUUCAGGGAGAAGAUGUCCAGGAGACCAUGGCUAGAAGCCUUCUCCAAGGCAGGAAUGACAAAGACAUUAGAGUCAGCAUGUGAUCUACUUAGGCUAUUGUAUAUGGCUUGCAAGCCUUUGCAGGCCCUUGUCCAGAAUAGGAAGCCUAGACAUCAUGUCCCUUGCUCAUAACUUCCUUCUCUCUGCUCCUUAUAUUCUGGCCAGUAACCAGCCUGAGUCCCCUCUCCCUGAAAUUGUCCACAGUAUUACUCAAACUCUGUGCCUCAGCUUAAUGGGCUCUUCUGACUGCAUUACCCCCUCCAUUAGCAUUAUGACAAAUUCUUGUGUUCCAGAAAGUUACAACUGUCACCCAGUCAAUCUACAGGAUUGAGGAUAUGCAUGUCCCCAUCAGGGGAGUAUCUGUCCCUGUAGAUUUGUGGUGACUGCUUCUCUUCUGUCCAGCUUUAUCUCUGGCAACUGACAAAAAUGUUCAGCAAAACAUUGGUGCUGGGGAAAAAUCUAUGCAGAACAAAAGAAAGAAAUGGCCAUAACGACAUAGUGUAAAUGUUCAAAUAUGAAGAAUUAUAGGAGUAGUGAAAGAAAGGUGAAGAAUUUGUAGAUGAAGGAUAUGGAGUGGAAGCUGGAGAUAUGUUUCUAAGACAAAGAGAUAAGAGCAGAACAGGACAAGACAAGAGGAAAGCAUGAGGUUGUUGAAAAAUCUGUUACUACAGAUAACGUGCAGGACACUAUAAAUAUGUUAAACACUGAAUUGCCUAACUAAAGUAAUGGUUGAAAAAUAUGCUAGUGUAGUUAAAAACAAUAUACUUAUAAAAUUUUAAUAUUCUGAGAAAGUAACUUACAAAGUCGACUUCAUAAAAUGCCAGUAUACUUAAGUCAUUGAAUACAUUGACAGAUUUUUAAGAAAAGUAAUGCAAUUCUGUCAUGUGGAAAUUUUUCUUCAAACUGGAAAGUAAGUAAUCUUUUGUUGCAUAUAGUAUUUAUAUUACAGAGCUAGAAUAAUUGCCUAUUGACACUGCCACUUUGUAUGUGCGGGAUGUGUGUGAAUGUUUAUUCUGUGAAGAGAUGAGAUCUUUGUGUCAGAAAUAUGGCAAAUAAACAUGAGGCUAUUACUGAUAAAAGUCACUAAAUGUCAUUGUUUUAUACAUAACUUCAAAGAUACUAGACUAUCUUUGUUGUAGUUUUCUAACAGAUGAUAAUUAUAAGUCACAAUUGGCACAGAAAAAAAAAUAAGACCAUUACAGUUUUUACAUAUAUUAUCUAAACAUCUACUUUCUCCUUACUGGCUGUAAUUGUGAUGAUCUCUUUUAAUCUGAGUUACUUCUGAUUGUGUGUGUUGUUGCAAAGUGAGUUCCUGGGACAUUUCAGCAUCUAUUGUUAAAAUCUCUGGAGAAGCAAUAAUGAUCAUGUAAUUAUUGUUCGUCAACAGUUUGACUAUUAUAUAUCAUUUACAGUCAAUUUAAUUAAAAAGCUCACUGAAUAUUCUGGCAUUAUGUAAAUAAUGUGAAUGAACACAAGAGCUAUUUGUUACGAAAAACACUUAAAAUAGUACUAUAGACACCACAUUUUGCAACUGGAUCGUUAUCUCAGUAUUUCUUAUAAAUAAGUCUUAGAAAAUUGUUUGUGCUACACUUUGAAUUUAGAAUUAAGAAGGGAUUCCUCUACUUUUACUGUGUGUCGCCUUGUUGUCAAUAUGAUUAAAACCCAGAUAAAAUGAGUCUACUGCUGAUAAGCUAUGAAAUAGAAGUAUUGCAUUUUCUUCAUGAUGAAUAAUACAAUACUCAGGUUUGGAAUGAGUGUGUUUUAGCCUAUGUCAGGUUAGAUUGCAUCCUGUCUAUGAUAUUUAUUUGAGUCAUGGGUCGCUUCUCAGGUUUUUUGAAAACUGUGAUGAACUAUUUGCAGAAAUGCUACAUCCUGUAUUUUUGCAUUAAGAUAAGAAGCAUAAAGUAAAAAUUCUUCCAUUAGUCAAAAAUAUAAUAAUAACUGCCUUAGGAUUGCUUUACUCUGAUGAAACAAAAGAAACUUGGGAAAAAAUUUGAAGGAAGGGAUUUAUUCAACUAUUACUUCCACAUUACAGUUCAUCCUCAAAUGAAUUUAGGACAGAUGCUCAAGCAGGAAAGGAACCUGAAGACAGAAAGUGAUACAGAAGCCAUGGAAGUUUGCUGCUUAGUUGGUUGCUUCCCAUUGCUUGCUCAGUCUGUUUUCUUAUAGAACCCAGGAACCACCAGUCCAGGAAUAGCACCACCCACAAUAGGCUGGGCCCACUCCCAUCAAUCACUAACUAAGAAAAUACCCUACAGGUUUGUCUACAGCCUGAUUUUAUGGAGGUAUUUUCUCAAGUGAGGUUCCUCCUCUCAGGUGACUUUAGCCUGUGUCAAGUGGAUAUGAAACUAGCCAGUCAGUACAGGAACCAACAUAAGGCAUAAACCCUCUUUAUAGGGAAGCCAAAGUAACAAGAGUUUUGAAAGUGAACACAUGAGUGAGUAGGUCCAGAGACAGGGGAAUCCUUAGAACUUGGUGAAAAUCCAUUGUAACUAAUGUAAGAGAACAAGGUUAAAUUUGAGAACCUGUCUCAAUAAAUAAAUAAGUAAAGAACAUGAGAGAAAUAAACCUGGAGUUGACAUCUGACCUCCACAUGUACAGAUAGAGGCAAGUACACCUAGACACAUUUGUGUAAACACACAUGCACUCACACAUACACACACACUCUCUUUCUCACACACUACAAACAUAUAUACUAAAAUAGGUAAAUGUCAAGUUAUUAAAUUGUAGCAUUUGUUUUUAAAGUUUACCUUAUACUAAGUGAAAUAGAAAUUAGUUAUUGUGUAAAGAUGUAAAGCUUUAUUCCCUCAAAGUCUUUAAAAGAUCAUCUAUUUCACAAUUCUUCCUAAAGCUAUCAUCAAUGUUUCAAUUCUUCUUUUAUUUACCCCAAAGGCAUGCUUGUCUACACUUAUGAUAUCAAAGAGAUGGUAUGAUGAGUUCAGAUUAAACAAAAUGUUUUGCUAAUCUAAAAUCAUUUAGCUAAAAAAUACCACUCAAUUUUAGUAUCCAUCUUAGACUGUAUUUUAAAUCAUAUUACAGUUUUCACAAAAAACAGGUAAACAAAGAUAUCCACCAUAACAUUAGGCACAAAAAUAAAAGAUACAGAUAUUGGGGUUCAGGCUUCAACCUGAAGAUCAUACAAGCAAAGCAGCUGGCCACUAGCUCUUACCUCUACCUCAGCUCAGACUAAAGGGGCAAUCCUCAGACUACUGCCAACUUUACUACUUCUCAGUUUCACUCAGACUGCUAUGCUUUCCUCAGAAUUGUUUUUUUGACUAACUCUCAGACUGAAUGCCUGUACCUUUUAUACUUCUCAAAUCCUGGGAUUAUAGGCAUGAGCUCUGAUUCACUCUCCGGUGGCCCAGGAGCAUCUUAUAUUCUGAGAUGUUCAAAAAUCUUAAUCCUGAGUCCUGGAUUUAAAUUUAUGUGCCUGGCUUCAAUGGCUAACUAGUGUGGCUGCUUUGCUAUUUUGAUUUUCAGUGGUUUUAAUAAAUCAUAAAAAAUAUUAGUCACCUGCCUCAUUGCUAUAACGCAGGGGGUGACAAGAAGCAUGUUAAAGGAGAAAAGGUGCCUUUUGACUCACAGUUACAGAUUGAAGCUCAUUACAGCAGGCAAGUCACAAUGGCAGGAUAUUGGGGUGGCUGUUCACAUUGAAUCCACAGACCAGAAGCAGAAGGUAUUGAUCCCCCUUGCUCAGGCCCUUCCAUGCUGGGGUUAAAGACGUGUGCUAUUACACCAAGCUUUCAUUAUGGGUCCUGGGAUCUAAACCCCAUGCUAAUUCUUUUGCAGUAGACAUUUUACCAACUGAGUCUUCCCACAUCUAAAUUUAACUAUUUUAAAUCAGCAGUUCUCAGGAAAUACACCAAAAUGGAAUUAUUCUACAGUUAUAUUUACUAUCAAUGUCUUCUCAUAACAUUUCAUCUAUUUCUUUGCAUGCUUACAGCUGAUUUAUUCUCCAUUCAUAACAUUUUAUUAUUUCCCCUAUAAGGAUUCAGGUAUUAUAUUGCCCUGCCGCUGUCACUUGGCAGAGUGCACUCAGGCAGUACCCUGGUCAGCCCUGAGCUCUAUGGAUUUUGCACACAGUUGCAAAGGACCCCAUUAAGAGAAAGACCCCAACCACAAAGUGGUCUUUUUGCCUGCUCAUCUCUUUCUGCUAUCUUCUCUUUCCUGAUCCUCUCUUUCCCCUGUCUUGCCUGCUGCUCCCCUGGGGCAGACCAGACUUUUCCUGUCUCCCCCUUCUCUCCUGUACUCUCUCUGUGUGUCUCUUUCCCCUUUUCUCGUCCCUUCCUCCUUCCAUCUCUGUUCCCAGUUGGCCAACAUCUACUCCUCCAUUCAUUCCCAUUCCCAACAAACUCCAUAUGUGUUUGCUGAGUUUUGUGGUUAGUGUUUCAUUGCCCACAGCCUCAGCAAAAACUACAUCCCCCACUGGAAGACAAAUGUUACACAAUCUCAAUUUUAUGUGUAACCUAGAAAUGAUGAACUUAUGGGAACAGAGAGCAGAAUUGUGGCUAUUAGGCUUCAAUGUGGGUCUUUUAACAAUGGGGAAACGAUUGGUUUAAGGAUAUAAAACUGCAGUUGGACAAGAGUCAUGGACUCUCUGAAGUCUUGAGGUCUACUGGGAGCAUGAUAAAUAUGGUUGAUAACAAUAUGCUCUAUUUUAAGAGUUGUGAGAUAGUAUACUUUAAGUGUUCUCAAAACAAAAAUGAUGAAUAUGUGUGAUAUAACAUGUUAAUUGGUUUAAUUUAGCCAUGCCAUUGUGAACAUACUGUAUUGUGUAUCAUAAUUGUGCAUGACUUUAUUUAUGAGCUAAAUAAAUGAAUGAAAAAAAACUGCAUCCCCUAUUAACACUGUCAUGCAUCAGUGGGCAGAAAAAUAAUAAUAUUCUCCUUAUGGAGAUACAGAUACUACCAAGGCUUUAUGAGACAAAUCCAAUAAUAAAAAUGCAUGUGAAAAUCCAUAUUUCUCUACUACAUUGAUUGGAGAGAUCCUGAUGUUGUAAAAUUUAAAGAAGUAAUUAUACCAAAUGAAAUAAUGAAUGAAUCAAAUAACCACAGGAAUGG